Molecule: non-coding RNA, 281 nt
Organism: Amborella trichopoda
Lineage: Eukaryota; Viridiplantae; Streptophyta; Magnoliopsida; Amborellales; Amborellaceae
Source: RefSeq, a predicted model, not a curated record
CCUGUUUUCUGGAUACUACAAACGUAAAGAUCUGACUAGGGAGGUUAUGAUUGAUGGAUGGUUUCACACAGGACAAUUGCUUUGCAGAUAAAAAAGGUGGAGGGAGAUGGGCAUAUUGCUUGUUAAGGAAGGGAGCAAAAAGUUGAGAUUUCCUCUUUCGUGAAAAUUGGUUCCCCCUCUUCAGUUUUUGCAUAAUAAACAGAAAAAAGAGCCGCAUGUGAACGUGACAUUGUUUUGACUCGUUUCUUUUAAUUUCAACUCUCACCUCUCUCUCCUCGUUC